UAAUUACCACGCCCUCCUGUGCUUG
This 25-nucleotide non-coding RNA is filed under the name Mus musculus (house mouse). Lineage: Eukaryota; Metazoa; Chordata; Mammalia; Rodentia; Muridae. The record is from RNAcentral.